Molecule: ribosomal RNA, 395 nt
Filed under: uncultured Gram-positive bacterium
Lineage: Bacteria
Description: bacterial SSU rRNA
Rfam family: Bacterial small subunit ribosomal RNA
Source: RNAcentral
AACCGCUUUCACCCAUGACGAAGCGAGAGUGACGGUAGUGGGAGAAGAAGCACCGGCCAACUACGUGCCAGCAGCCGCGGUGAUACGUAGGGUGCGAGCGUUGUCCGGAAUUAUUGGGCGUAAAGGGCUUGUAGGCGGUCUGUCGCGUCGGAAGUGAAAACUCGAAGCUUAACUUCGAGCCUGCUUCCGAUACGGGCAGACUAGAGGGAUGCAGGGGAGAACGGAAUUCCUGGUGGAGCGGUGGAAUGCGCAGAUAUCAGGAGGAACACCGGUGGCGAAGGCGGUUCUCUGGGCAUUACCUGACGCUGAGAAGCGAAAGCGUGGGGAGCAAACAGGNUUAGAUACCCUGGUAGUCCACGCCGUAAACGGUGGGCACUAGGUGUGGGGGACAUUCC